This 458-nucleotide long non-coding RNA is filed under the name Paramuricea clavata. The record is from RNAcentral. Lineage: Eukaryota; Metazoa; Cnidaria; Anthozoa; Malacalcyonacea; Plexauridae.
UGACUUUUCCAAUUUAUUUAAUUCCGAGUGGAAAUGUCUGGAAAAAUUCAUGUCUUCGAUGUACUUUAUAAUCUUCGGAAUUCUGCUAGAUUUCACCCCCAAAAUGCAUGAAAUCGCAAUUCAGGGACCCAAGAUUUCAAAAUUUUCCGGACCCCGGACCCUCCUAGACGGUCUCACGCCUUCGGCGUGAGGUUCGCCCAAUAUAGCUGAAGUUAAAUUAAAGUUUUACAAAAUCUCUCUUCAGACUCGCGCGUUCGCCAAACCUCGACGGCUCAUAUUUUUCGUUCUGCCUUUUUUUCCUGUUUUGCCCCNNNNNNNNNNNNNNNNNNNNCCCCCCCCCCCCAGUGAAAAUUCCUUAAAAAAGGCACUGCUUCACAAUAUGCUUUCACGUAAAAAUAUUUUGCCUUUUCACGAGUCACGAAAAAUUUAAAAAAUUCCUUCACGUUCAUGGAUUAAGA